GCCAGAGGUGUUGCAUAGCAUGGAAAAGAAGCGACCAGCAGUAGGGAUGAAGAUAUUAUGAAUACAUUGGCUUCAUUAGUUGGAUUAGGUAACAAGCACAAAAUGUCUAUAUCUGGAACAACAUUCGUGGAAGUGAACUUAAUUUCUUAUUGGUUUACUGGGACUUCUUUGCUGUCUCAAGUCAAUCAUGCCACACUAAAGGAGUUCUUUCCAUAGUUUGGUUUAUUUCCUUCAAGAUAGAGCACCUCUAUGCGACCAAACAAAACCCACUUUACAAGGGAGCUCUGACGGCGAGCACUUGACAUAUGAGAAAGGAUUCUGAGCUACCAAAGAAAUCACUGGCAAGGCUCAUUAAGCUGGUACCACAACCCAUGUUUGAAGUUUAAAGGAUGGAGAACGAUGUUGUAUGCUAUGAGGCCCAAUUGCCCAUACUGUUUGUGGAGUUCAUGCACGGUCUGCCACUUAUAAACUCUGGGUGCACGUAUUGCAUAGAUUAUCUAGUACAGUGUAGAACUAUUGGAGAGGCACAUUUUAUAGGGGUCAAAAUUGUUGAGCAGGGAUGCACCUCAAAUAAGCUUGUCUUACAUUCUGAUGCAAGAUAGCUAAUUGAUAAAGCUUGAUAGGCCCUGCAUACGUCAGAUUAAUGAAGCUCCCUUUCUCUUUGUCCUGAUCAUUGACCUUAUUUAUAAAGCUCUAAACUCAAUUCAUGGAUGUAAAAGUGCUGAUAGAUGUGUCUCCAUUCAAAAUCAUGAACAAAGCAUGUCAUGGAUGUCAAGAAGAAACUGUGUCAAGCAGUGACACAUGAACAGGAAAUUAGGCAAAUGCUUUUAUGUAUAUCUGUAAGUUCAUUCCAAAGAGUUUGUUGUUUAAAUGUGAAUGCGUGGAUAAAACGUUUAUUGCUGUAGGGACAGGUUUUGAUUUCAAGAGUAUGUAAAUUGCAUGUGUUAGUGGCAAAAUUGAUUUGUAUAAGCA
This is a long non-coding RNA of Quercus lobata, 972 nucleotides long. RefSeq lists it as uncharacterized. The transcript has 5 exons. The record is from RefSeq and is a predicted model, not a curated record. Lineage: Eukaryota; Viridiplantae; Streptophyta; Magnoliopsida; Fagales; Fagaceae.